Molecule: long non-coding RNA, 455 nt
Filed under: Bos taurus (domestic cattle)
Lineage: Eukaryota; Metazoa; Chordata; Mammalia; Artiodactyla; Bovidae
Description: long non-coding RNA NONBTAT017183
Source: RNAcentral
AAUUUUCAAAUGUUUUAUUUUUAGUGUUUUUAAACAUUUUAAUACAACAAAGAUAUAAAAUAAUAUAUAUUAGUUAAAUCUGGAUUUAAUUUAGAAUUGAGAUAUUUACUUAUAUACAAUACUGUGCUUCAAGGUAUGGCUACCACAGGAACUUUCACAUCUUCAAGUAAUACUAGUUUCUCUGCACAUUGGGUGACAUUUAGGUAGAAUUCAUAGAACAAAACAUGCCCAUCUUAGCCCAAGCUAAUUUUGCUUCCCCCAUUAAGUACCAGUCUCCACUUCUUUUGUUUCAUAUCAGAAAUACUUCAAUUGUCCUAACAAGUCAUAGAUUAUGGAGUACACAGAGAAAAAGUCCUUGGCUAAUAUAAGGUAGAACCAUAGUCUAAAAAAUUAACUUUGGGGGAAGCUGAAUUAUGGCUUAUAGAUUGCACAGAUGUUUUAAUUCAACUUAAUGC